Molecule: ribosomal RNA, 429 nt
Filed under: Pseudomonadota bacterium
Lineage: Bacteria; Pseudomonadati; Pseudomonadota
Description: Proteobacteria bacterium partial 16S ribosomal RNA
Rfam family: Bacterial small subunit ribosomal RNA
Source: RNAcentral
UGGGGAAUAUUGGACAAUGGGCGAAAGCCUGAUCCAGCCAUGCCGCGUGUGUGAAGAAGGUCUUCGGAUUGUAAAGCACUUUAAGUUGGGAGGAAGGGCAGUAAGCGAAUACCUUGCUGUUUUGACGUUACCGACAGAAUAAGCACCGGCUAACUCUGUGCCAGCAGCCGCGGUAAUACAGAGGGUGCAAGCGUUAAUCGGAAUUACUGGGCGUAAAGCGCGCGUAGGUGGUUCGUUAAGUUGAAUGUGAAAGCCCCGGGCUCAACCUGGGAACUGCAUCCGAAACUGGCGAGCUAGAGUAGGGCAGAGGGUGGUGGAAUUUCCUGUGUAGCGGUGAAAUGCGUAGAUAUAGGAAGGAACACCAGUGGCGAAGGCGACCACCUGGGCUCAUACUGACACUGAGAUGCGAAAGCGUGGGGAGCAAACAGG